UACAGAGGUCUCAACCGUUGUUCGGAUUCAUUGGGCGUAAAGGGUGCGUAGGCGGUCGCGCAAGUCGGAUGUGAAAUCUCAGGGCUCAACCCUGAAACUGCAUUCGAUACUGCGUGGCUAGAGUGCUGGAGAGGAGACUGGAAUUUACGGUGUAGCAGUGAAAUGCGUAGAUAUCGUAAGGAAGACCAGUGGCGGAAGGCGAGUCUCUGGACAGCAACUGACGCUGAGGCACGAAGGCCAGGGGAGCGAACGGG
Molecule: ribosomal RNA, 254 nt
Filed under: uncultured bacterium
Lineage: Bacteria
Description: partial 16S ribosomal RNA
Rfam family: Bacterial small subunit ribosomal RNA
Source: RNAcentral